GACGAACGCUGGCGGCGUGCUUAACACAUGCAAGUCGAACGGAAAGGCCCUGCUUUUGUGGGGUGCUCGAGUGGCGAACGGGUGAGUAACACGUGAGUAACCUGCCCUUGAAUUUGGGAUAACUUCAGGAAACUGGGGCUAAUACCGGAUAGGAGCUCCUGCUGCAUGGUGGGGGUUGGAAAGUUUCGGCGGUUUGGGAUGGACUCGCGGCUGAUCAGCUUGUGGGUGGGGUAGUGGCUUCCCCAGGCUUUGACGGGUAGCCGGCCUGAGAGGGUGACCGGCCACAUUGGGCCUGAGAUACGGCCCAGACUCCUACGGGAGGCAGCAGUCGGGAAUAUUGCACAAUGGGCGGAAGCCUGAUGCAGCAACGCCGCGUGCGGGAUGACGGCCUUCGGGUUGUAAACCGCUUUCGCCUGUGACGAAGCGUGAGUGACGGUAAUGGGUAAAGAAGCACCGGCUAACUACGUG
This 468-nucleotide ribosomal RNA is filed under the name uncultured bacterium. RNAcentral's name for it is "partial 16S ribosomal RNA". It matches the Rfam family "Bacterial small subunit ribosomal RNA", at positions 28 to 507 of the family's 1533-position model. The record is from RNAcentral.